This 424-nucleotide ribosomal RNA is filed under the name uncultured prokaryote. RNAcentral's name for it is "bacterial SSU rRNA". It matches the Rfam family "Bacterial small subunit ribosomal RNA", at positions 355 to 796 of the family's 1533-position model. The record is from RNAcentral.
UGGGGAAUAUUGGACAAUGCGGGAAACCGUGAUCCAGCAAUGCCGCGUGAGUGAUGAAGGCCUUAGGGUUGUAAAGCUCUUUUACCAGGGAUGAUAAUGACAGUACCUGGAGAAUAAGCUCCGGCUAACUCCGUGCCAGCAGCCGCGGUAAUACGGAGGGAGCUAGCGUUGUUCGGAAUUACUGGGCGUAAAGCGCGCGUAGGCGGCGUAUCAAGUCAGGGGUGAAAUCCCGGGGCUCAACCCCGGAACUGCCCUUGAAACUAGUAUGCUAGAAUACUGGAGAGGUGAGUGGAAUUCCGAGUGUAGAGGUGAAAUUCGUAGAUAUUCGGAAGAACACCAGUGGCGAAGGCGACUCACUGGACAGUUAUUGACGCUGAGGUGCGAAAGCGUGGGGAGCAAACAGGAUUAGAUACCCCCGUAGUCC